CAGGGCCACACUCUCAGCCUUUGGAGGUUCCCAGGCUAGGGGUCGAUUCGGAAUUGUAGCUGCUAGCCUACACCACGGCCACAGCAACAUUAGAUCCAAGCCAUGUCUAUGACCUACACCACGGGUCAUGGCAAUGCCAGAUCCUUAACCCACUGAGCAAGGCCAGGGAUUGAACCUGCAUCUUCAUGGAUGCUAGUCAGAUGCAUUUCCACUGAGCCACCAUGGGAACUCCCAUUCAAGUUUCUUGAGAGUGUUUCCAUGUUCUGCAUGUCGAAUGUGACUGUGCAGGUAUUUGGGAUCGUAGUGGGGAACAGCCCCCCCAGCAGAGUCUAUUCAUUCACUAUGUAGUUUACUUCAUUCUCCAGUUUUUACCCCAUAUGUCCGCUCUGUUUUCUUCUGUCUCUGUGUUCUAUAUGGAUUAUCUCCAUCGAAGAACCUCCAAGAAUCUUCGAGAUGAUUCAGCACCUGCCCUUACCCAGCAUUUCCUAACUGAUGUUGUAAAAGGCUGGUACCAGAGACUGGCUGUGAGUGAGUCUUUCUCCUCCCCAUCCAAAGUCCACCGCCCUCUGACAUCGCCAAACCUACUGUGGUCUCUGAUGCUGUUUUUGUUGCUCUAGAGAUGCCUGAGUUUUUGCACAAGCCAAGGUCAAGUAGCCCUGCAUGUCUAAAAGGGUAGAUGUUAACUCUUAAAAGCCAGAAAUUUGGGCACAAAUUUUAGAGCAGUUUUCAAGCACGGGUUAAAAAUAUAUUGGAAGCUGAACAUGUCUGGGGUGAGAAGUUGGGGAAGAUUCAUGUGGCAAAGAGGAGAGUUGCAUCAGGACUGCGUGGUGUUUCACACUUGUAAAGUUUUCUCCCUCUGCCUUUCCUGGAGACCUGAUUGUAGCAGCAGUGAAGGCAGAAUGAAGAGGUGGUAGCAGAGAGAGGCAGAGCACUUGGUAUAAGGGAGGCCUAUUUUUAGGUAUAAAACCUUGUCUUUCCAAUAAUAGAUUGAGGAAGCUCUGGCUUGGCAAUAUGUCUCAGCGUUUCUGUUGACACUUUGGAAUAUGGCUGUCAUGAAGUGAGUGUAAAGUUAGGACCUGCUUUGGAGUUCCCGUCAUGGCUCAGUGGUUAAGGAACCCAACUAGGAUCCAUGAGGAUGUGGGUUCAAUCCCUGGCCUCACUCAGUGGAUUAAGGAUCUAAUGUUGCGGUGAGCUGUGGUAUAGUUUGCAGACGAGGCUCGGAUCUGGCGUUGCUGUGGCUGUGGCAUUCUCUGGCAGCUCCAGCUCCGAUUUGACCCCUAGCCUGGGAAGCUCCAUAUGCUGCAGGUACAACCCCCAAAAGACAAAAAAAAAAAAAAAAAAAAAGUUAGGACCUGCCUCAAGUCAUAAGGAAGCAAGCCUGGAGUUAUUCGACUUGUAUGCAUGGUAGUCCAUUCUGUUCUGGGUACCACAUUUUGUAAUACAUGCUGUAAACCUUAGGCAUUGAAAAACUUUCAUCAAAAUGAAAUGAAUUACACUUCCACCAGCAAUAUAUGCAUUCCUGUUUGCCAAGACUCUCACCCAGUUCUUGCUGUGAUCUGAUUUUAAUUUCUGCUACUCCAAUGGGUAUAAAAAUGACAUCUUGUGGUUGUUACUGUUUGAAGUAAAAGCAUAUUUGAAACAUACUAUUUCUAUUCUUUUCAUGAACAUUUAACCUAAACAUUUAAAAUUAAUCAGUAGAGUUCCUGUUGUGGCUCAGGGGGUUAAGAACCUGACUAGUGUCCAUGAGGAUGCGGGUUCAAUCCCUGGCCUCACUCAGUAGGUUAAGGAUCCUACGUUGCCCUGAAUGGUGGUGUAGGUUGCCGACAUGGCUCAGAUCUGGCAUUGCUGUGGCUGCGGCAUAGGCCUGCAGCUGCAGUUCCAAUUUCACCCCUAGCCUGGGAACUUCAAUAUGCCACAUGUGUGGUCCUAAAAAAAAAAAAAAAAAAAAAAAAAAAAAAAGGAAAAGGAAAAUUAAUCAGUAUUUUUACUCUCCUCCUGACCAAAGAACCUCUGUCUGACUUAAUUCUGAGCAGCUCUCCCAUUUUCAUGACACUUUUUGUGCUUUUUUUUUGUUGUAGAGUUGAUCCUCAUUAUUUGCAGAUAGCUCAUUUGUGAAUUUAUCUACACAUUAAAAUUUUCUUGUAACCUUAAAUUAAUACUCACAGCACUUUCAUAAUAAUUCUUGAACUUGUAUGAAAUAGCAAAAAAUUGAGGUUAGGAACCCCUGAUCUGGACACGAGUCCACUCAGAAAAGUGCUAAAGUAACAUCUGUACUGAAGGGUGGAGCUAUGGAAAAGGUGGCAGAGCAGCUAAGUUUCUGGAUUCAUCAGCUGGGGCUUGAUAAAAAGGCAUAGUGGACAUCAUUGUUAUGAAGCUGGAAACCACAAAGGUUUAUGAUUGCACCACCCAGGGUCAGGAUAUUGUGAAACCCCUCUCAGCUAGUGCUGGCAGACUUACAUCUGGCAAAAAGCUCUAAGAUGGAAAGAUGUUCAAGUUACAGUUGAGGCAGGUAUUGCAGACCCAGCUGCCAUGAAGGAAUUUUAAAAAUAGGUGCUAAGUGUUACAUAGGAAAAGAGCUAGGUGAGGGUCUUCUUUUAAGACUUAAUUGAGCUGUAAUUGUUUUUUACUUUUCAUAAAUCUUUUUUUUUCCAUUUUUAAAGCUUUAUUGAAUAUAGUCAAUUUACACUGUUGUAGCAAUUACUGCUGUACAACAGAGUGAUUCAGUUAUACGUGUAAAUAGAUCCAUUUUUUUUUUCAGAUUCUUUUCCGGCAUAGACCAUCACAGAAUAUUGGGUAGAGUUCGCUGUGUUGUACAACAGGUCUGUGUUUUUCAUAAAUCUAUCUUUUAAGAUAGCUUUGCUGGGUUUACAAUUUUUAUUUUAUUUUGAGAUAUAGUUGUCAUAUAAUAUGUAUAUUUACAGUUUACAAUGUAUUAUUUUGAUAUGUUUAUAUAUUGUAAUAUGAUUACUGUAUUAGAUGACACUUCCUCAUGCCAUGUAAUGACCAUUUUGGACAAUUUUUUUAGUUUUUUUGAAGUAUAGCUGAUUUAUAAUGUGAUAAUUUCUGCUGUACAACAAAGUGAAAUAUCCAUUCUUGGAGUUCCCAUCGUGGCUCAGCAGAAACAAAUCUGACUAGUAACCGUGAGGUUUGAUCCCUGGCCUCACUCCGUGGGUUGAGGAUCCAGCACUGUCAUGAGCUGUGGACACGGCUCAGAGCCUGCGUCGCUGUGGCUGUGGUGUAGGCUGGCAGCUACAGCUCUGAUUCGACCCUUAGCCUGGGAACUUCCAUAUGCCACGGGUGCAGCCCUAAAAAGACAAAAACAAAAAACAAAAAAACCUUUCUUUUUUGUAUUCUUUCCCCAUAUAGGUUAUCAUAGGUUAUGAGUAGAGAUCCCUGUGCUCUACCUCAGGUCCCCAUUGACCAUCCAUUCCAUAUACAUCAGUGUGCAUAUGCUGACCCCAAAACCCAGGUCCAUCUCUCCCACACCCCACCUUUUCCCUUCGGUAACCAUAAUUUUGUUUUCAAAGUCUGUGAGUUUGUUUCUGUUUUGUAAAUAAGUUAAUUUGUAUGAUUUUUUAAGAUUCCAUAUAUAAGAAUGUAAUGAGAUCAUAUGACAUUUCUCCAUCUGACUUGACUUCACUUAGGAUGAUAAUCUCUAGGUUCAUCCAUAUUGCUGCAAAUGGCAUUAUUUCAUUCUUUUUUAUGGCAAGUAAUAUUCUGUUGUAUAUAUGUACUACAUCUUUAUUAUUCCUCUGUUGAUGAACAUUUAUGUUGAUUCCAUGUAUUGGCUAUUGUAAAUAAUGCUGCAUUGAAUAUUGGGAUGCAUGUAUCUUUGGGAAUUAUAAUUUUCUCUGAAUAGAUGCCCAGGAGUGGGAUUGCUGGGUCAUAUUCUAGUUCUAUUUUUAGUUUUUGAGGGACUUCUAUACUGUUUUCCAUAGUGAUUAUACCAAUUUGCAUUCCCGCAGUGUAGGAGGGUUUGCUUUUCUUUGUGCCUGCUCUAGCACUUAUUGUUUGUGAACUUUUUGACCAUCAACUUUUUGACCUUUCUGACAGGAAGUGGUACCUUGUUGUAGUAUAAUUAGUAAUGUUGAACAUCUUUCCGUGUGCUUUUUGGCCAUCUGUCUGUCUUUUUGGAGAAAUAUUUAUUUAGAUCAUCUGCCCAUUUUUUGAUUGGUUUGUUUGUUUUCAUUUUAUUGCUAUACCAGCAGCAUAUGGAAGUUCCCAGGCUAGGGGUUGAAUCAGAGCUGCAGCUGAGGCCUAUGCCAUAGUCAUGGCAACACCUGAUUCUGAGCCACCUCUGCAAACUACACUGCAGCUUCCAGAAACACUGGAUCCUUAACCCAGUAAGCAAGGCCAAGGGUCGAAUCCUCAUGGAGAUAACAUUGGGUUCUUAACCCAUGGAGCCACAAUGGGAACUCCUGUUUGUUUGUUUUUUUAAUAUUGAGCUGCAUGAGCUGUUUUUUUAUAUUUUGCAGAUUAAUCCCUUGUCAGUCUCCUCAUUUGUAAAUAUUUUCUCCCCCUCUGUGUUGUCUUUUCAUUUUGCUUGUGGUUUCCUUUGCUGUUCAAAAGCUUUUAAGUUUAAUUAGGUCCAAUUUGUUUAUUUUUGUUUUUAUUUCCUUUACUUUGGGAGGUGGAUCCCAAAAGAUAUUUCUCUGAUGUCAGAGAGUGUUUUGCCUAUGUUUUACUCUAAGAUUUUUAUAGUUUACAGUCUUUCAUUUGGGUCUUUAACCCAUUUUGAAUUUAUUUUUGUGUAUGGUGUUAGGGAAUUUCUAAUUUCAUUUUUUUACAUGUAGCUGUCUAAUUUUCCCGGUACCACUUGUUGAAGAGACUAUCUUUUCUCCACUGUAUAUUCUUGUCUCCUUUGUCAUACAUUAAUUGACCAUACAUGCAUGGGUUUAUUUCUGGGCUUAUUAUCUUUUUCCAUCAAUCUAUAUUUCUGCUUUUGGUCUAGUACCAUACUGUUUAGAUGACUAUAGCUUUGUAAUAUAGUCUGAGGUCAGGGAUCCUGAUUCCUCCAAUUACAUUUUUCUCGAGCUUGCUUUGGCUACUUGGAGUCUUUUGUUUUCAAUUACAAAUUUAAAUUUUAUUUCUUCUGGUUCUGUGAAAAAUGCCAUUGGUAAUUUGAUAGGGAUUGUAUUGAAUCUGUAGAUUAUUUUGGACAGUACAGUCAUUUUGACAAUAUUAACUCUUCCAGUCCAAGAGCAUGGUAUAUCUUUCUAUCUGUGUCUUUGACAAUUUUAGAUUUUUCAGUUCUUGGUUAUCUGAAGGUAAUCUGGCCUUUUCUUCUGGCUAUAUUAUGAUAUUUACCUAAAAAUGAACUCAAUGGCAUAUUUUAUUAAUCUUACUUGAGAUUCAUUGUGUUUCCUUAAUCUCAGGACUGAUAGGUUUUAUCAAUUUUGGAACUUCUCUGACACUCACUGUCUUUUCAAACACUGCUCUUUCCCUUUUCUAUUAACUCCUUCUGGAAUUCUGAUUAUUUUUAUUCUAGACUUUAUUCUAUCUGCAAGAUCUUAACCCUCAUAUUUGUCUUCCUGUGGGCUACUACUUCAUAUUAAUUUUCCAAGUUAAUGGAUCUCCUUAUAAUUGUGUCUAAUCUGCUGUUUCACAAGUUGUGUCCUCUGAAAACAGAUGCUUGGACUGAGUUGGGGUAUGAGCUGAUUAUUAGGGAUCAAAACAUGUGAAAGGAAAGAAGAAAGACUGAGCGGAGGAGAAAAAUAAACUUCAGUGGGGUCCAAAAAAAUCCUUUGCUAAUCCAGCAGAGAGUUUGGAAGUGAUUAUUUCCCAUCAGAGUUCUUCUGCAUUGGAUUGGAACCAUCAGGAUCUUUGUACCCUUCAUUUCUCAGUCACUGGAUAUAGGCUACUCCAGUGACCUUGGGAAAGGCAGCUUUUGGCAUCUGAGGCAAACCCUGAAGAAGGUGACGUCUGGAAGCUGUCUGGUGACCAUACUUUUUAUAGUUGAAUAAUUCCUUUCUUGAACAGGAAUCUUGAUGACCUUUGACUCUAUCAUAUGUUUCUUAAUCUGUCUACAACUUUUCUUUUUUUUUUAAAUUUCUACACUCAUCUUAGUUAUUUUAUUUUUUAUUUUUUUAAAUGUAUUGAAGUUGAAUUGAUUUACAGUGUGUUAAUUUCUGCUGUUCAGCAAAGUGAUUCAGUUGUGUGUGUGUGUAUACAUUCUUUUCCAUAAUGGUUUAUCACAGGAUAUU
RNAcentral lists this long non-coding RNA (6203 nucleotides) under Sus scrofa (pig). Its description in RNAcentral is "lncRNA (ENSSSCG00055027701.1)". Lineage: Eukaryota; Metazoa; Chordata; Mammalia; Artiodactyla; Suidae. The record is from RNAcentral.